GAAUGAGGAGUAGGUGACUUCUUGUGACCCUUCCCUUGAAUGAAUAAAGGAAAUGGACAAAAUCAUAUCUGUCAAAAACGGUUAUCUAACACCUGCAUAUAUCCUGGAGAAUUACUGGGACAAGAUUGGUAAUAUCUGUUGGUUAUAAAAAUAUUGUUAUAGAGUAA
This is a long non-coding RNA of Mastomys coucha (southern multimammate mouse), 167 nucleotides long. RefSeq lists it as uncharacterized. The transcript is spliced from 2 exons. NCBI's taxonomy places the organism in Eukaryota, Metazoa, Chordata, Mammalia, Rodentia, Muridae. The record is from RefSeq and is a predicted model, not a curated record.